CAGCUCUGACUUGAGGCUGUUCAAGAAUCAGCUCCACUUGAUCUGGUUCCACCUCUACCACAGGCAGAGAAACACAGGCCUGGACUCUUUGUUGGCCAGACAAAAUCAGAAACGGAAAUCAUUGGUUUUUACAACUGGGUCCAGUUCUACCUGCAAAGGAUAUAAGACCAGGGAGCAUGAUUUGUGGUGUGGCAGCCAUGGGUUGAGCCAGCCCUGCAAACCCUGUGGAUGGACGAUGCAGUGGACAGUGGGAGGAAGCAUCCUAAAGCUCUCUUUGCAGACCAGCCUGUGUGAUUCUCCACUCGCCGACCAGAAAAGACAAACGGCAGGUCUCAGUUGCAGCACCUCAUCCAUCCAUGUCUGAUCUUGCAUCGGCAGAUUCAGCAACACAGCCAGAGACUUCCUGUAAUCUAUUACAGUUGUUAAAAAAACGGUCCAGGAACAGGUCACUCAGGUUAAUCCUGUAUAAACAACUGUAAAUAUUGUUUUUCCUUCUUUAAAUAUUGUUGGCUUAUUAGAAAUAUUCUUGUUUAAUUGUUGUUCUCCAAAAAGUUGAUUC
Oreochromis aureus is the source of this 559-nucleotide long non-coding RNA. The record is from Ensembl. NCBI's taxonomy places the organism in Eukaryota, Metazoa, Chordata, Actinopteri, Cichliformes, Cichlidae.